Molecule: ribosomal RNA, 179 nt
Filed under: uncultured Bacteroidota bacterium
Lineage: Bacteria; Pseudomonadati; Bacteroidota
Description: uncultured Bacteroidetes bacterium partial 16S ribosomal RNA
Rfam family: Bacterial small subunit ribosomal RNA
Source: RNAcentral
GCGAAGGCAGCUCACUAAGCUGGUAUUGACGCUGAUGCACGAAAGCGUGGGGAUCRAACAGGAUUAGAUACCCUGGUAGUCCACGCCCUAAACGAUGAUAACUMGAUGUUGGCGAUAKACAGCCWGCGUCCMASCGAAAGCGUUAAGUUAUCCACCUGGGGAGUACGCCSGCAAGGGUG